AAAGUGAAGAUUCCUGACCUUUUCCAGGUUUUCCGGCGGAAUCCGAGGAGCUGUUGGAGCGGGCGGUGGAGCUGCUGCGGAGCUGCUGCCGCGAUUCCGGCUCCCAGCAGGGAUUCCGCUACAGCCAGGCCAUCCUGGUGGAGAACGAACUCUUCCGGAGCGAGCUGCGAGCCUUUGCCCGCGCCAAGGCGGCGGCCGGGUACAGCCCCGAGGAGCUGCGCGAGAGCUUCGCCUUCCUCCUGUUCGAGCGCGAGGACGAGGCCAGGGCGGUGUGCCAGCGCGGGCUCCGCGUCAACAGCAGCUCCCUGCGAUCCCUGGGAGAUCCCGCC
Cyanistes caeruleus (blue tit) is the source of this 329-nucleotide non-coding RNA. The record is from RefSeq and is a predicted model, not a curated record. NCBI's taxonomy places the organism in Eukaryota, Metazoa, Chordata, Aves, Passeriformes, Paridae.